RNAcentral lists this ribosomal RNA (493 nucleotides) under uncultured Sphingobacteriales bacterium. Its description in RNAcentral is "bacterial SSU rRNA". It matches the Rfam family "Bacterial small subunit ribosomal RNA", at positions 903 to 1382 of the family's 1533-position model. Lineage: Bacteria; Pseudomonadati; Bacteroidota; Sphingobacteriia; Sphingobacteriales. The record is from RNAcentral.
GCCCGCUCAGAAACUACAAAGGAAGUUGACGGGGCCCGCACAAGCGGUGGAGCAUGUGGUUUAAUUCGAUGAUACGCGAGGAACCUUACCUGGGCUCAAAUGUAUGUUGACGCAUUCUGAAAGGGAUACUUCUUCGGACAAUAUACAAGGUGCUGCAUGGUUGUCGUCAGCUCGUGCCGUGAGGUGUCGGGUUAAGUCCCAUAACGAGCGCAACCCCUUUCCUUAGUUGCCAUCAGGUAAUGCUGGGGACUCUAAGGAUACUGCCCGGUUAACGGGGAGGAAGGUGGGGAUGACGUCAAGUCAGUAUGUCCCUUACGUCCAGGGCUACACACGUGUUACAAUGGCCGGUACAAUGAGUUGCGACCCUGCAAAGGUAAGCCAAUCUCAAAAAACCGGUCUCAGUUCGGAUUGCAGUCUGCAACUCGACUGCAUGAAGUUGGAAUCGCUAGUAAUCGUAGAUCAGCACGCUACGGUGAAUACGUUCCCGGGCCUU